UAAGGAAUCUUGCACAAUGGAGGAAACUCUGAUGCAGCGAUGCCGCGUGAGUGAAGAAGGCCCUUGGGUUGUAAAGCUCUUUCGUCGGGGAAGAAAAUGACUGUACCCGAAUAAGAAGCACCGGCUAACUCCGUGCCAGCAGCCGCGGUAAUACGGAGGGUGCAAGCGUUAAUCGGAAUUACUGGGCGUAAAGAGUACGUAGGCGGCUUUGCAAGUCGGGUGUGAAAGCCCUGAGCUUAACUCAGGAACUACAUUCGAUACUGCAUCGCUAGAGUUUAUUAGAGGAUAGCGGAAUUCCAGGUGUAGCGGUGAAAUGCGUAGAUAUCUGGAAGAACACCAAUGGCGAAGGCAGCUAUCUGGGAUACAACUGACGCUGAGGUACGAAAGCGUGGGGAGCAAACAGG
This 404-nucleotide ribosomal RNA is filed under the name uncultured bacterium. Its description in RNAcentral is "bacterial SSU rRNA". It matches the Rfam family "Bacterial small subunit ribosomal RNA", at positions 355 to 776 of the family's 1533-position model. The record is from RNAcentral.